Molecule: ribosomal RNA, 253 nt
Filed under: uncultured bacterium
Lineage: Bacteria
Description: partial 16S ribosomal RNA
Rfam family: Bacterial small subunit ribosomal RNA
Source: RNAcentral
UACAGAGGUCCCAAGCGUUGUUCGGAUUCAUUGGGCGUAAAGGGUGCGUAGGUGGCGCGCUAAGUCAGGUGUGAAAUCUAUGGGCUCAACCCAUAGUCUGCAUCGGAAACUGUCGGGCUUGAGUAUGGGAGAGGUGAGUGGAAUUUCCGGUGUAGCGGUGAAAUGCGUAGAUAUCGGAAGGAACACCUGUGGCGAAAGCGGCUCACUGGACCAUUACUGACGCUGAGGCACGAAAGCUAGGGGAGCAAACAGG